GUGUGUGUGUGUGUGUGUGUUGGUGUUGGGGAAGAGCAAGUCAAUUUUACGGUGAGUUUAAAGAUUUUUUUUGGUCCGGAGAGCUAGAGAGUGCAAGUAAGCUCAGUUGAACACUAUUGAGUUGGCAUCUCUGUAAUGGAGGUGGCUUUUAGUAUUUUGUAGGUACCAAAGUUGAUAGUUUUGGACUUCAAUUUCUUGGAUGUUUCUACAACUUCUCUGCCCAUAAACGGAGCAAUUUUGCGCCGUUUUUUUUUUUUUUUUGGUUUAUUCAGUUGAGUUCAAUUUUAAUUUAUCGCAAAAUCAGUCAAUUUGGUUCUGUUCAGCUGUGAAAAUUAGAAGUCCAAUAUGACCGAGCAAUCAAAAUAACAUAUAUAUGAAAUGGUGCUGUUUUACAUUGAAUAGAAGUCCUCUUAGAUUGUCAAACGUCCAUGGUCUCCUGAUCUCCUCUCUUUCGAAAUUGCAAACCCUAAUCUCAUAUGCUCUUUCUUUGGUCACAACAUGGUGUCAUCCCACCCACCUGUCACUGUUCUGGCCCACCCAGUUAUCUUGCCGUCAUUGCUUCUCAGUUCUCAAUGAUCCACCUUGUCUCUCCAACAUUGCUUAUUACCCAUCCACCUUAUCUCAACACACCUCAUUCUCCUCUUGCUCUAGCGUGUCAUGCUUCCCCUCACUCCAUUAACCAAGGUGAGAAUGGGUUGCUGGGCAUCAAAUAUUGUAAAGGCAAUGUUUGUUAAAUUUAUUGUUGUUCAGUUCUUGAUUUGUGGCUGUAAGGAUUCCAUAGAGAUUUUUGAGAGAUGCUUUCUACGAAAGGAUGAUUACAAGUCUUGCUAUAGGUGUUCCCAAGAGCCAUAUUCAAUUUCAUUAGAAUUUAUCUUCAUAUAUAUUAUAUGUUUGUGGUGUUGCGUGUGCAAGGGAAAGAAAAAUCAAUUUUGAUGUAUGUCUUCUGUAAUUCCUGAAUGUGAUGACGAAUGUGUCUCUACUCUCAGGGAUUUUCUUGUUUCAAAGUUCUUUUGAACAAAUUUUUUUUGGUUAUUUUUUUAAAGCAAUGAACUGUCAGUCUCUUUUUUAUUAUUUGCAGUGCUUGUAUAAUUUUUCUUAGUAGUUCUAGUAAUGAUCUGAGAGAUAUUCUUAUUCUGUU
Molecule: unclassified non-coding RNA, 1138 nt
Filed under: Hevea brasiliensis (rubber tree)
Lineage: Eukaryota; Viridiplantae; Streptophyta; Magnoliopsida; Malpighiales; Euphorbiaceae
Source: RNAcentral